GAUGAAGAACGUAGCGAAAUGCGAUACGUAAUGUGAAUUGCAGAAUUCAGUGAAUCAUCGAAUCUUUGAACGCAUAUUGCGCUCUCUGGUAUUCCGGAGAGCAUGCUUGUUUGAGUAUCAGUAAACACCUCAACUUCCAUAUCUUUUUUUGAAAUGGGAGUUGGACUUGAGUGAUCCCAACGCUUUUCCUCACCGAAAAGUGGCGGGUUACUUGAAAUGCAGGUGCAGCUGGACUUUUCUCUGAGCUAUAAGCAUAUCUAUUUAGUCUGCCUAAAAAACAGAUUAUUACCUUUGCUGCAGCUAACAUAAAGGAGAUUAGUUCUUGUGCUGACUGAUGCAGGAUUCACAAAGACAGCUUCGGCCGACUUUGUAAACUCGAUCUCAAAUCAAGUAAGACUACCCGCUGAACUUAAGCAUAUCAUAAGCGGAGG
This 431-nucleotide unclassified non-coding RNA is filed under the name soil metagenome. RNAcentral's name for it is "partial contains 5.8S ribosomal RNA, internal transcribed spacer 2, and large subunit ribosomal RNA". The stretch from base 1 to 120 matches the Rfam family "5.8S ribosomal RNA", at positions 35 to 154 of the family's 154-position model. The record is from RNAcentral.